GACGAACGCUGGCGGCGUGCUUAACACAUGCAAGUCGAACGGAAAGGCCCUGCUUUUGUGGGGUGCUCGAGGGGCGAACGGGUGAGUAACACGUGAGUAACCUGCCCUUGACUUUGGGAUAACUUCAGGAAACUGGGGCUAAUAACGGAUAGGAGCUCCUGCUGCAUGGUGGGGGUUGGAUAGGUUGGGCGGUUGGGGAUGGACUCGUGGCUUAUCAGCUUGUUGGUGGGGUAGUGGCUUACCAAGGCUUUGACGGGUGGCCGGCCUGAGAGGGUGACCGGCCACAUUGGGACUGAGAUACGGCCCAGACUCCUACGGGAGGCAGCAGUGGGGAAUAUUGCACAAUGGGCGGAAGCCUGAUGCAGCAACGCCGCGUGCGGGAUGACGGCCUUCGGGUUGUAAACCGCUUUCGCCUGUGACGAAGCGUGAGUGACGGUAAUGGGUAAAGAAGCACCGGCUAACUACGUG
This 468-nucleotide ribosomal RNA is filed under the name uncultured bacterium. Its description in RNAcentral is "partial 16S ribosomal RNA". It matches the Rfam family "Bacterial small subunit ribosomal RNA", at positions 28 to 507 of the family's 1533-position model. The record is from RNAcentral.